This 904-nucleotide ribosomal RNA is filed under the name uncultured Actinomycetes bacterium. Its description in RNAcentral is "bacterial SSU rRNA". It matches the Rfam family "Bacterial small subunit ribosomal RNA", at positions 9 to 920 of the family's 1533-position model. Lineage: Bacteria; Bacillati; Actinomycetota; Actinomycetes. The record is from RNAcentral.
GAGUUUGAUCAUGGCUCAGGACGAACGUUGGCGGUGCGCCUAAUGCAUGCAAGUCGAGGGAGAAGCCGUCGUUCCGUAAGGAUCGGUGGUGGAAACCGGCGAACGGGUGCGUAACACGUGAGAAGCCUGCCCCCCAGACCGGGAUAGGCCGAGGAAACUCGGAUUAAUACCGGAUACUCUCUUUGGACCGCAUGGUCCGUUGAGGAAAAGUCCGCUGGGGGAUGGUCUCGCGGCCUAUCAGGUAGUUGGUGAGGUAACGGCUCACCAAGCCUACGACGGGUAGCUGGUCUGAGAGGACGAUCAGCCACACUGGAACUGAGACACGGUCCAGACUCCUACGGGAGGCAGCAGCAGGGAAUAUUGCACAAUGGGCGAAAGCCUGAUGCAGCGACACCGCGUGCGGGAUGACGGCCUUAGGGUUGUAAACCGCUUUCAGGAGGGAAGAAAAUGACGGUACCUCCAGAAGAAGCUCCGGCCAACUACGUGCCAGCAGCCGCGGUAAUACGUAGGGAGCAAACGUUGUCCGGAUUUAUUGGGCGUAAAGGGCUCGUAGGCGGUUCAACAAGUCGGUCGUGAAAGCCCGGGGCUCAACCCCGGGACGCCGGUCGAAACUGUUGUGACUAGAGUUCGGUAGAGGUGAGUGGAAUUCUCGGUGUAGCGGUGGAAUGCGCAGAUAUCGAGAGGAACACCAUUAGCGAAGGCGGCUCACUGGGCCGAUACUGACGCUGAGGAGCGAAAGCGUGGGGAGCAAACAGGAUUAGAAACCCUGGUAGUCCACGCCGUAAACGAUGAACACUAGGUGUAGCGGAUCAAUUCAUGUCUGCUGUGCCGUAGCUAACGCAUUAAGUGUUCCGCCUGGGGGAGUACGGCCGCAAGGCUAAAACUCAAAGGAAUUGACGGGGGC